Molecule: ribosomal RNA, 274 nt
Filed under: uncultured bacterium
Lineage: Bacteria
Description: partial 16S ribosomal RNA
Rfam family: Bacterial small subunit ribosomal RNA
Source: RNAcentral
AUACGGAGGGUGCGAGCGUUAAUCGGAAUUACUGGGCGUAAAGCGCACGUAGGCGGCAGCGUCAGUCGGAUGUGAAAGCCCCGGGCUCAACCUGGGAAUUGCAUUCGAUACUGCGCAGCUCGAGUAUGGGAGAGGGAAGUGGAAUUUCCGGUGUAGCGGUGAAAUGCGUAGAUAUCGGAAGGAACACCAGUGGCGAAGGCGGCUAGCUGGGCCGAGUCUGACACUCAUCCGCGAAAGCGUGGGGAGCAAACAGGAUUAGAUACCCCAGUAGUCC